RNAcentral lists this small nuclear RNA (314 nucleotides) under Nannospalax galili (Upper Galilee mountains blind mole rat). Its description in RNAcentral is "7SK RNA (ENSNGAG00000007798.1)". It matches the Rfam family "7SK RNA". From Rfam's summary of the family: 7SK was discovered as an abundant small nuclear RNA in the mid-70s but a possible function has only recently been suggested. Two independent studies have found that 7SK RNA binds the CDK9/cyclin T complex (known as elongation factor P-TEFb). Lineage: Eukaryota; Metazoa; Chordata; Mammalia; Rodentia; Spalacidae. The record is from RNAcentral.
AGAUGUGAAGGCAAUCUAUCUGUGACAUCUGUCACCCCAUUGAUCACCAGGGUGGAUUCAGCUGAUCUGGUUGGCUAGGUGGGUGUCCUCUCCUUCCCUCAAUGCUCCACAUGGGUCCCUCCCAAAGCUUCCUGCUUGAGAAGAGGAUGGCCUUCUUCAAUAAAGGAGGACUGGUCUUCAGUCAAGGGUAUAUGAGCAGCUGUGCUCGCUACAAGAACAUGCAAACUCUCAUAUAACUGAAGGCAUGUGUAGUCCCUAAAUGCCUUAGCACACUGAUUAAGUUCAUAUGGCUUUACCCCAAUAGGAAUUAUUUU